CCAGCUCCAAUAGCGUAUAUUAAAGUUGUUGCAGUUAAAAAGCUCGUAGUUGAAAAUCUGAUUGUUCAGGCCUUCAGCCUUUAGGCGAGGGCUCUGGCAGUCAUCCGCUUGCAAACAUAUGUUCGAUCUUAACCGAUUGGCUAUGUGAGUAAGCAUUUUACCUUGAGAAAAACAGAGUGUUCCAGGCAGGUUUGUCCGGAAUGCAUUAGCAUGGAAUAAUAGAACAUGACUGAAGUCUAUUUAUUGGUUAAAGGCUUUAGUAAUGAUUAAUAGGAACAGUCGGGGGCAUUCGUACUCAGCAGUCAGAGGUGAAAUUCUAAGAUUUGCUGAAGACGAACUAAUGCGAAAGCAUUUGCCAAGGAUGUUUUCA
This 370-nucleotide ribosomal RNA is filed under the name Peritrichia sp. Its description in RNAcentral is "SSU rRNA". It matches the Rfam family "Eukaryotic small subunit ribosomal RNA", at positions 585 to 972 of the family's 1831-position model. The record is from RNAcentral. Lineage: Eukaryota; Ciliophora; Oligohymenophorea. RNAcentral also lists the same sequence under 1 other name.